AGUGAACGCUGGCGGUAGGCCUAACACAUGCAAGUCGAACGGCAGCACAGUAAGAGCUUGCUCUUACGGGUGGCGAGUGGCGGACGGGUGAGGAAUACAUCGGAAUCUACUUUUUCGUGGGGGAGAACGUAGGGCAACUUACGCUAAUACCGCAUACGACCUACGGGUGAAAGCAGGGGAUCUUCGGACCUUGCGCGAUUGAAUGAGCCGAUGUCGGAUUAGCUAGUUGGCGGGGUAAAGGCCCACCAAGGCGACGAUCCGUAGCUGGUCUGAGCGGGUGAUGAGGCACACUGAGGCUGAGACACGGUCCAGACUCCUACGGGAGGCAGCAGUGGGGAAUAUUGGACGAUGGGCGCAAGCCUGAUCCAGCCAUACCGCGUGGGUGAAGAAGGCCUUCGGGUUGGAAAGCCCUUUUGUUGGUAAAGAAAAGCAGCAGGUUAAUACCCCGCUGUUCUGACGGUACCCAAAGAAUAAGCACCGGCUAACUUCGUG
RNAcentral lists this ribosomal RNA (492 nucleotides) under uncultured bacterium. RNAcentral describes it as "partial 16S ribosomal RNA". It matches the Rfam family "Bacterial small subunit ribosomal RNA", at positions 29 to 507 of the family's 1533-position model. The record is from RNAcentral.